GCCUCCUUAGCUCAGCGGUAGAGCAGUUCAUUCGUAACGAACAGGUAGCGGGUUCGAAUCCCGUGGGAGGCU
RNAcentral lists this transfer RNA (72 nucleotides) under Prevotellaceae bacterium. Its description in RNAcentral is "tRNA-Thr". It matches the Rfam family "tRNA". Rfam says of the family: Transfer RNA (tRNA) molecules are approximately 80 nucleotides in length. Their secondary structure includes four short double-helical elements and three loops (D, anti-codon, and T loops). The record is from RNAcentral. Lineage: Bacteria; Pseudomonadati; Bacteroidota; Bacteroidia; Bacteroidales; Prevotellaceae.